UACGUGUUUCGUUACCGCGUGAAGAAUAACGCUAGUCGUCGAUGGUGUUCGUAAUCAGCCCGCAGGGCGGAGAGUUCAGUUCCGAGCGAUAGUAUCGCGGGCGCGGUGGAGUUCCAAGCGAAGCAUCGAGUGGGUCCUUGGCGAAGGGAAGUGUGCGGCGGCGGAGUCCCGCGACGGAGGUCCACGAGGGGUGCUGCGGCGAGAGUUGCGCCAGAGGUGCGGCCCCGCGAGUUGUGCGGUGUGUAAAAACGAGUGAUUGGGGAAGCAACAUUUUAAACUGCAAUUGAUAAUUUGGCAUUUUUAGAUUAUUUGUUAGUGAAGUAAAUAGUGGCAAUAAAUAAAACUGUGUGGUAGUAAAAUCUUUAAUUGGCCUAUCCUUUACGAACCCGCGAUCGUAACAAUGUUUCAUUUCAAAUUUUCUCAACAGAUCAUAUUGUUACGAUUGGGAAGAAACUGGGUUCGUAAGGAUAGCCCAAUUGAUUUAACGCAGGUUUAUUUGUUACUAAUAUUUAUAUUACUAAUUAAAUCAACACUCUUAAUGUUUGUUCACAAAUUACUAAAUAUCUACUGAGUCCACUGUUCGCCCUCCUCACUGGAGCUAGGCUCGACAGUGGUUCGCCCCUUACUUCGCACCUGUCCACACACAGUCUCGCGCCACUCGGUCACACUAGCACGGUCCUGUCGCUCCGCGCCUGCGCCGCUCGCAAAGGUUGGUCUCUCACCCUCUUCGCUGAACUCGCACUUCACUUCCCCCUGCCGUAAGCCGGCUUCGCCGCUUUUAUACCCUCUUACCGUCUUUCUGAAACUGACUGUAGUGGUUGUAACGUGUCGCGUCACUCCGGGCCGACCCGACACUCGAAGCCUCGAGAACGGCGGCUCGUUAUUCUCGCCACUCCACGCGGCUGCCUCAGUAAGCCCGCGGAAUUCUCAGCGUCGAGGAAGGAAGGCGCUGGGACAGGCGGGUGCUGAGGCCGGGCCGCUUUAAAACCCCAAAGAUAUGCGCGCGUGACGUCAGUGGCCGUGCGGGGCCUAGCCUUCCACGUUUGUUAGAAUAUCUUUGAUAUUAUCCAAUAGCGCUGAUACAUCACGCAAGUAUUCAUAGUUAUAAUCAUUUGGGUGACUUCCAAAGAUCAAAAUUAACCUUUGGUAAAUAUAUAUUGGUAAGAAAACAUGACCCAACAACAACUGCAAUAAGUUAUCGGAAUAAACUUACUCCCUUCAGAAAUAGCAAUGACAAGACGAAUAUAAUCUGCUAAGCGUGUAGGACCGAACCUUAAAAUCUAAUAUUUAAUGUAUGCGAAACUCUCCACGGUUAGAAAAUACAGUAAAUUUAUGGGCAUUUUUAAAAAAGAAACUCCCUGAAAACGACGAGUACCUACUUAGUAAUUUAAGAUAAGUGGUACUUCGUAAAAGCAUGCAGCAUGUUGAUUCGUGUUCAAUGCAAGUGAAAUCAUUACCCGUUAAUUUAUGAAGAUAAACGUAUAUUAACAAAGUUCCCUGAAUAAUUUGUAACAAGUGGACUUCGUAAAAUUAAGGUGAAAAUUUUUAACAGUGUUGAAGCAACUAGGGUGCCGCGAAAAUAAGUUUCAGCCCUAAGGUAUUGUGAUUCACAACACUUGAUAAAACUGUUGGACGAGUGCUAUGGCUGCAACGUCGAGGAAAUUCUAGAAAACCGGAAGACUGGUAGAGAAAUGUAGGGUUCAUGACUCACCUCCUGUAGUGAACUCUGAACAACUCGGGACCGGACUUUAUGCUCACGAGUCGUCACGUUGGAGGUGGACUAGAACCCAUGGCCCUACCCCAAUAAGAACGGAGUCUCAGGAAGCAUGGUGACAGGGUUUUGUGAAGGGCGAAGGAUUACAAUGAAACGUAUGCUAAUGCUGCACACAGCGCGAGUUUUCUUUCAGGGGGGAAAACACCCUGAAAUUUAUAAACAGUCUAUGAAAGAAUGUCCCAGUUUCAAUGGUAUAUUAUAACAAUUUAAUUUAGAUUAUUUACAACAAAUCAUAGGUACCUACAUUGAAUUGAAAGUAAAUUAACUUAGUUUUUAUUACAAAUGUUCAACAUGUACACCUUUAUAAUAGUUAUAGGGCACACAACCAACCUGAAGUCCAAUUUUUGGAAGAUAGAUGUUCGGAGUAAUGGAAGAAAUAGCCUCUACAAUUCUUAGUCUCAACUCUGACAAAUCAUUAGGUAGCGGCGGAACGAAAACACGAUCUAUUAUAAACCCCCAAAGGGGGAAAAAAAAAAAUCGCAUGGCAGGUAAACGUAAGAGGCCCGCGAAAAAUAGCUCUGUCGUCUCGACCAUUAUGACCAAUUCGAUGGUCUGGGACUUCAACAGUUAAACUUUAAACGAAACGCACGUUGAACUGGAAUACAGAUUCACUCUUAGCAAAUUGCAGAACCAAAAACGCUUUACGUUCAGGAGUCACCAUUUUGCAUAAGUUGCGCUGCAAGCUAGAAAAAAAAACAGAGCAGUACUCACACAAGUGCUGAACUAAAACUGUUUUAGUUACUCUGUAAUUGUGACCUUGAUCCAAAAAUCUACAACGCUUAAAGUUGAUGCUAUUAGAAUUUAUAACUGGGACAUUCUUUUCCAGACAUACUAUAUUUUACAUAUGUGUGGGGGGAAGGUUUAGAUACUCCAAAAUAUUGUUAUAUGAAUGCUAGGAGGCAAGGCUUGGAUGCAUGCCAGGUACCUGAGCGGGCCUAUCAGCGAGUCUGGCUGCGGCCCCGCACGGGCGCUGACUUCACGCAUGCCAGGCGUGUCCGGCCGGAUUACAAGGGUCUGGCUAAUCAUCCUCCUCCGCUUCCCGCUCCACACUGACCUGCCUCCGACUACUGUCACUGACACUUUAAUUGACCUGGGAAUUCCGCUGGUUUUUCGUGACAGCUACUCGGAGUGGCGCGAAUAAACGCCGCCUUUCUGGACUUUUAGGGCGUCGGGUCGGCCCGGAAUGACGCGACUCGUCACAGCCGCUCUCGUCCCUUCGAGGACACAGUGGGGACAUAAGCGACGACGCCAGCCUCCGCGGGAGUUCCGCCCGCGAGUUGAAGGGAAGUGCGACAUGGGCGAAGAGGGUGAGAGACCGCCUCGAGGGCGGCGCGACGAGGAGCGACGGGACCGUGAGUGCGACUGAGUGGCGCGAGACUGUGUGUGUGUGGACAGGCCGUGGUAAGGAGUGCAUCACUGUCGAGCCUAGCUAGCUCCAGUGAGGAGUGCGAACUGUGGAACUUGACAGACAUCGAGGGACUUGCGAAUAAACAAUUUUAAGUAACUCAACAACAAUUUCACACAGAAUGCACCACAUUCUGAAAAUCACAAUGUUGAUGAAACAGUGGUGCCAUAUUUUGGGAAGAAUGGAUGCAAGCAGUUUAUAAAAGGCAAACUUAGACAAUAUGGGGUAUAAGCUUUGGUCAGGGGCUACCAUGACAGGUUACACUGUGUGGAUGGAUCCUUACCAAGGUGCUAAAUCUAGUACAUCUACAGAAUACAAACAUAUGGGCUUGGGAGCUAGUGUUGUCCUUAAGUAUGUUGAUGUGUUGAGAACCACAGGACAGUACAAGUUUCACAUAUUCAGUGAUGUUUUUACCUCAGUUCCAUUACUUUCAGAACUACGUAAGAUAAAUAUUUGUGCUACUGGCACAAUAAGAGAAAAUAGAGUCAGAAACAGCCCUCUUACACAUUCUAACAUCCUGAAGAAAACACCCCUAGCCGAAACAAAAAUGGAACGAAGUGAAGAUAUCGUAACUAAAUGUAUGACAAUAGAGUUGUAACAGUUGCCUCAAAUUCUCUUUCAGCCAACCCUAUUCACACAGUAAGCAGGUAUUCCCAAAGAGAGAAGAGUCAGAAUCAUUAACCCCACACACACAUUUACAAUAAAAAUAUGGGUGGUGUUGACAGAGUUGAUCAGAAUAUCAGUCGGUACAGAAUACAGAAUUCGAACACGAGGGAAAAAAAAAAAGGCAUUUGUAGCCUGAUCUCUCACUGCAUUGAUGCAGAUGAGAAAAAUGCCUGGCAACUCCAUCGACAUGCCAAGAGUGAACUUGAUCAUUUGGCAUUCCGGAGGAGGUUAGCUGUUUCCAUUAUUGAGAAGAAUGCCAAACCAACAAAGUAAGAGGGAGGCCUUCCAGGACUGAACAUGAAGAUUCAUGAUUGGAUAGGAAAAAUCAUCACUGGGUAGUCCCUCAAGAGAAGCAAACACGCUGUAGACUGUGCCAGAUGAGAGCAACUACACAAUGUGUGAAAUGUGUUGUUUGUAUUUACGUUAAAUAGUUUUCAAAACUAUCAUACUGUAAAAUAAUUUUCAGAAUUUAUCACCUUUUUUUUUUAUAGAAACAUGAUAACAUUGUUUAUCUUUGAUAUGGAUUGUUAAAAAAAUUCAUUUGUUUACAACACCUAUUGGACUAGUGUACUAAAUAUAGUACAGCAUGUGUAUGUGUGAGACUGGUUUACUAAAUUUAGUACAGCUAAGAACACCUAAAUAGGUGCUAUUUUAUUAUUUCAACAACAAAUAUAACAUUGCCAUUGCAUAAACAUUCAUUCAAUAGAUAUGAUUUGUUUGAAUAAACAUAAAAUAUUUUAUAGUCCAAUCUGGGUUAAUUUUCUUUUCUAAAUAUUAGUUUAAACUUAAGAUCUCGUCUGCAGUGUGGUAUUUAGAGGUAAACACACAACAUAAAUCAGGGAAAUCGGGGAACCAAUCUACAAAGAAUGUAAGCUUGUAGCAAACCUGUAAAAAUACUUGAAUUAGGCUUGCAGUGUAAGCUUGACACACCAAGCUUAAUUCAAGCCUGCUUUGAACCAUGAACCAUUACUGCAAGCUUGAUGCAAACUUGUCGUGGCCCAGGGCCAGGCAUGUACGCCAAUUCGAAACCCCCCAUCCACGACAAUAUUAUAAACAAGUCUUAAGCAUGAAAAUAAUUGUAGUUACUAUGUUUUGUACUUCUUAUUAUGCAGUAAUUUGUUUGCAGUGUGCUGGUUUUUAUAGUACUCUAACAAAUAUUUCAUUAAAUGGUUUCAAUUU
Molecule: long non-coding RNA, 5024 nt
Organism: Bacillus rossius redtenbacheri
Lineage: Eukaryota; Metazoa; Arthropoda; Insecta; Phasmatodea; Bacillidae
Exons: 2
Source: RefSeq, a predicted model, not a curated record